UGUCCUAGGGUAGCUCAGUUGGUGGAGAAUGAGACUCUUGAUCUCAGGAUUGUGGGUUUGAAGAGGGUUGGAAUAGAUGACUCUUGGGGUCCCAGCUCUACAA
Non-coding RNA from Podarcis lilfordi (Lilford's wall lizard), 103 nucleotides. The record is from the annotation of a GenBank genome assembly. NCBI's taxonomy places the organism in Eukaryota, Metazoa, Chordata, Lepidosauria, Squamata, Lacertidae.